UACGUAGGGUGCGAGCGUUAAUCGGAAUUACUGGGCGUAAAGCGUGCGCAGGCGGUUUUGUAAGCCAGAUGUGAAAUCCCCGGGCUUAACCUGGGAAUGGCAUUUGGGACUGCGAGGCUCGAGUGCGGCAGAGGAGACUGGAAUUCCUGGUGUAGCAGUGAAAUGCGUAGAUAUCAGGAGGAACACCGAUGGCGAAGGCAGGUCUCUGGGCUGACACUGACGCUCAUGCACGAAAGCGUGGGGAGCAAACAGG
RNAcentral lists this ribosomal RNA (253 nucleotides) under uncultured bacterium. Its description in RNAcentral is "partial 16S ribosomal RNA". It matches the Rfam family "Bacterial small subunit ribosomal RNA", at positions 524 to 776 of the family's 1533-position model. The record is from RNAcentral.